Molecule: small RNA, 415 nt
Filed under: Thiopseudomonas alkaliphila
Lineage: Bacteria; Pseudomonadati; Pseudomonadota; Gammaproteobacteria; Pseudomonadales; Pseudomonadaceae
Description: Oblitimonas alkaliphila cspA thermoregulator
Rfam family: cspA thermoregulator
Source: Rfam by way of RNAcentral
ACAGGUAGAGUAGGCACCACUGCUGCUGCAUGUGUAACGUGAAUCAAAAAUGCUUAGAUAUAAAACUAACCAUUGCAACGACUCUUGUAACUCCUUGCGCUCAGUAACUUUAGGGCAAGAGCCCAAGCUUAAAUUUACUUGUAACAAGGAGACAUAAGAUGUCUAACCGUCAAACUGGCGUUGUAAAAUGGUUUAACGAUGAGAAAGGUUUCGGCUUUAUCACUCCAGAAAGUGGUGAAGAUUUAUUCGUUCACUUCCGCGCUAUUCAAGCGGAUGGUUUCAAAACUCUGAAAGAAGGCCAACAGGUUUCUUUCGUUGCAGCGCGCGGCCAAAAAGGCAUGCAAGCUGAAGAAGUACAAGUUAUCGCUUAAUUCGAUAGCUGUGAAAAAACCCGCUUUUUAGCGGGUUUUUUCUU